CAACCUGCCCACCACUUGGGGAUAACCUUGCGAAAGUAAGACUAAUACCCAAUGAUAUCUCUAGAAGACAUCUGAAAGAGAUUAAAGAUUUAUCGGUGAUGGAUGGGGAUGCGUCUGAUUAGCUUGUUGGCGGGGUAACGGCCCACCAAGGCAACGAUCAGUAGGGGUUCUGAGAGGAAGGUCCCCCACAUUGGAACUGAGACACGGUCCAAACUCCUACGGGAGGCAGCAGUGAGGAAUAUUGGUCAAUGGGCGAGAGCCUGAACCAGCCAAGUAGCGUGCAGGAAGACGGCCCUAUGGGUUGUAAACUGCUUUUAUAAGGGAAUAAAGUGAGUCUCGUGAGACUUUUUGCAUGUACCUUAUGAAUAAGGACCGGCUAAUUCCGUGCCAGCAGCCGCGGUAAUACGGAAGGUCCGGGCGUUAUCCGGAUUUAUUGGGUUUAAAGGGAGCGUAGGCCGGAGAUUAAGCGUGUUGUGAAAUGUAGACGCUCAACGUCUGCACUGCAGCGCGAACUGGUUUCCUUGAGUACGCACAAAGUGGGCGGAAUUCGUGGUGUAGCGGUGAAAUGCUUAGAUAUCACGAAGAACUCCGAUUG
Molecule: ribosomal RNA, 595 nt
Filed under: uncultured Bacteroidota bacterium
Lineage: Bacteria; Pseudomonadati; Bacteroidota
Description: bacterial SSU rRNA
Rfam family: Bacterial small subunit ribosomal RNA
Source: RNAcentral